AACGUAGGUUCCGAGCGUUAUCCGGAUUUACUGGGCGUAAAGCGCGUUCAGGCGGUUUGGCAAGUCGGGCAUGAAAUCUCUCGGCUCAACCGGGAGAGGUUGUCCGAUACUGCUGGACUUGAGGGCAGUAGAGGGUGGUGGAAUUCCGGGUGUAGUGGUGAAAUGCGUAGAUAUCCGGAGGAACACCAGUGGCGAAAGCGGCCACCUGGACUGCACCUGACGCUGACACGCGAAAGCUAGGGGAGCGAAUGGG
RNAcentral lists this ribosomal RNA (253 nucleotides) under uncultured bacterium. Its description in RNAcentral is "partial 16S ribosomal RNA". It matches the Rfam family "Bacterial small subunit ribosomal RNA", at positions 524 to 776 of the family's 1533-position model. The record is from RNAcentral.